UGUCACGAAUUCAUUAAAUGA
Molecule: non-coding RNA, 21 nt
Filed under: Caenorhabditis elegans
Lineage: Eukaryota; Metazoa; Nematoda; Chromadorea; Rhabditida; Rhabditidae
Source: RNAcentral